GUACACUCCUGCGGGAGGCAGCAGUGGGGAAUAUUGGACAAUGGGCGCAAGCCUGAUCCAGCCAUGCCGCGUGAGUGAUGAAGGCCCUAGGGUUGUAAAGCUCUUUCACCGGAGAAGAUAAUGACGGUAUCCGGAGAAGAAGCCCCGGCUAACUUCGUGCCAGCAGCCGCGGUAAUACGAAGGGGGCUAGCGUUGUUCGGAAUUACUGGGCGUAAAGCGCACGUAGGCGGAUCGAUCAGUCAGGGGUGAAAUCCCAGGGCUCAACCCUGGAACUGCCUUUGAUACUGUCGAUCUGGAGUAUGGAAGAGGUGAGUGGAAUUCCGAGUGUAGAGGUGAAAUUCGUAGAUAUUCGGAGGAACACCAGUGGCGAAGGCGGCUCACUGGUCCAUUACUGACGCUGAGGUGCGAAAGCGUGGGGAGCAAACAGGAUUAGAUACCCCUGUAGUCCCA
Molecule: ribosomal RNA, 450 nt
Filed under: uncultured organism
Description: partial 16S ribosomal RNA
Rfam family: Bacterial small subunit ribosomal RNA
Source: RNAcentral